CCUACGGGUGGCUGCAGUGGGGAAUAUUGGACAAUGGGGGGAACCCUGAUCCAGCCAUGCCGCGUGUGUGAAGAAGGCCCUCGGGUUGUAAAGCACUUUCAGUGAGGAAGAACGCCUGGUGGUUAAUACCCAUCAGGAAAGACAUCACUCACAGAAGAAGCACCGGCUAACUCCGUGCCAGCAGCCGCGGUAAUACGGAGGGUGCGAGCGUUAAUCGGAAUUACUGGGCGUAAAGCGCGCGUAGGUGGCUUGAUAAGCCGGUUGUGAAAGCCCCGGGCUCAACCUGGGAACGGCAUCCGGAACUGUCAAGCUAGAGUGCAGGAGAGGAAGGUAGAAUUCCCGGUGUAGCGGUGAAAUGCGUAGAGAUCGGGAGGAAUCCCAGUGGCGAAGGCGGCCUUCUGGACUGACACUGACACUGAGGUGCGAAAGCGUGGGUAGCAAACAGGAUUAGAUACCCCUGUAGUC
RNAcentral lists this ribosomal RNA (465 nucleotides) under Vreelandella stevensii. Its description in RNAcentral is "partial 16S ribosomal RNA". It matches the Rfam family "Bacterial small subunit ribosomal RNA", at positions 338 to 795 of the family's 1533-position model. Lineage: Bacteria; Pseudomonadati; Pseudomonadota; Gammaproteobacteria; Oceanospirillales; Halomonadaceae. The record is from RNAcentral.